RNAcentral lists this ribosomal RNA (443 nucleotides) under uncultured bacterium. RNAcentral's name for it is "partial 16S ribosomal RNA". It matches the Rfam family "Bacterial small subunit ribosomal RNA", at positions 338 to 795 of the family's 1533-position model. The record is from RNAcentral.
CCUACGGGGGGCAGCAGUGGGGGAUAUUGGACAAUGGGGGGAACCCUGAUCCAGCGACGCCGCGUGAGUGAAGAAGUAUUUCGGUAUGUAAAGCUCUGUCAGCAGGGAAGAAAGAAAUGACGGUACCUGACCAAGAAGCCCCGGCUAACUACGUGCCAGCAGCCGCGGGAAUACGUAGGGGGCAAGCGUUAUCCGGAAUUACUGGGUGUAAAGGGAGCGUAGACGGUUAAGUAAGUCUGGAGUGAAAGGCCGGGGCCCAACCCCGGGACUGCUCUGGAAACUAUUGAACUUGAGUGCAGGAGAGGUAGGCGGAAUUCCUAGUGUAGCGGUGAAAUGCGUAGAUAUUAGGAGGAACACCAGUGGCGAAGGCGGCUUACUGGACUGUAACUGACGUUGAGGCUCGAAAGCGUGGGGAGCAAACAGGAUUAGAUACCCGUGUAGUC